AUAUCAGUAAGCGGAGGAAAAGAAACUAACAAGGAUUCCCUUAGUAACGGCGAGUGAACCGGGAACAGUCCAGCGCUAAAUCGGUACGUCUCGGCGUACCGACGUGUAGCGUAUAGGCGAGUCGCUUGGUCUCAGUCUCAGGGCACAAGUUUCCCAUGACCGGGGCGCCGAAGAAGGUGAUAGACCUGUAGCGCUCGAGACUUUGGCCAAUUGUUUCGUCUUAGAGUCGGGUUGUUUGGGAUCGCAGCCCAAAGCAGGUGGUAAACUUCACCUAAGACUAAAUACCCCCACGACGACCGAUAGCGCACAAGUA
RNAcentral lists this ribosomal RNA (313 nucleotides) under uncultured eukaryote. RNAcentral describes it as "partial large subunit ribosomal RNA". It matches the Rfam family "Eukaryotic large subunit ribosomal RNA", at positions 40 to 350 of the family's 3401-position model. The record is from RNAcentral.